This 464-nucleotide ribosomal RNA is filed under the name uncultured bacterium. RNAcentral's name for it is "partial 16S ribosomal RNA". It matches the Rfam family "Bacterial small subunit ribosomal RNA", at positions 339 to 795 of the family's 1533-position model. The record is from RNAcentral.
CUACGGGGGGCUCCAGUGGGGAAUAUUGCACAAUGGGCGCAAGCCUGAUGCAGCCAUGCCGCGUGUAUGAAGAAGGCCUUCGGGUUGUAAAGUACUUUCAGCGGGGAGGAAGGGAGUAAAGUUAAUACCUUUGCUCAUUGACGUUACCCGCAGAAGAAGCACCGGCUAACUCCGUGCCAGCAGCCGCGGUAAUACGGAGGGUGCAAGCGUUAAUCGGAAUUACUGGGCGUAAAGCGCACGCAGGCGGUUUGUUAAGUCAGAUGUGAAAUCCCCGGGCUCAACCUGGGAACGGCAUCUGAUACUGGCAAGCUUGAGUCCCGUAGAGGGGGGUAGAAUUCCAGGUGUAGCGGUGAAAUGCGUAGAGAUCUGGAGGAAUACCGGUGGCGAAGGCGGCCCCCUGGACGAAGACUGACGCUCAGGUGCGAAAGCGUGGGGAGCAAACAGGAUUAGAUACCCCUGUAGUC